GCUCACGUAACUUAUUUUAAUUCAAAUCAAACAGAGAAAAUAGAUUGAAAGGCGGCCCUGCCUUUUCGGCAAUAUCUGGGGAGUAGUAAGGAAGCAGUUCGGGGACUUGCGGCAGGAACGAGCUUGCCUCUUUUGAUAUCCCUGAACUUGGAGGGAGAGUUGUGCAUUUGGAGGGUACACAGAGGAAAACUAUUGCACAUAAAAUGGAUUAGCUAUCUUUAAUUAAUAAUCAUUUCCAUCGAAUUCCCCUUAGAAGGUACUCCGAGUUUUGGAUUUCAUCUUUCGUAGAGCUCUUCCUGAAAUGCCGUUCAGCACCGCUGCCCCCUGGAUUGCCCAUGCCAGACACGCGCCACAUGUGCAUUUUACGAGCCAAGAAGAUGGAUGACGGAGAGGGGGCUCAGGAGCAAGGGUGACACAUUGUUGAUGUCUUGGGAAAAACCUGAUGUAUAUUGCUUCCCCCGCUGAAUGAUGAUUCCACCCAAGCCCAACCAGCGUUGCAACUAAUUUUACGUUUUUAUGACACUCCCGCUACGUGAUGCGACGGACCCUGGGAACAUGGGUUAAAUCAUAGACAGUCGCCGCGACUGAAUUCAAACACGUGUGGCCAAUAAAAAACUGAAUACGACUA
This is a long non-coding RNA of Drosophila eugracilis, 628 nucleotides long. RefSeq lists it as uncharacterized. NCBI's taxonomy places the organism in Eukaryota, Metazoa, Arthropoda, Insecta, Diptera, Drosophilidae. The transcript has 2 exons. The record is from RefSeq and is a predicted model, not a curated record.